UACCACACAGUCUGGUAGUAGCACU
Molecule: unclassified non-coding RNA, 25 nt
Filed under: Mus musculus (house mouse)
Lineage: Eukaryota; Metazoa; Chordata; Mammalia; Rodentia; Muridae
Description: oocyte_clustered_small_RNA6125
Source: RNAcentral